Molecule: small RNA, 76 nt
Filed under: Flavobacterium sp. TAB 87
Lineage: Bacteria; Pseudomonadati; Bacteroidota; Flavobacteriia; Flavobacteriales; Flavobacteriaceae
Description: Flavo-1 RNA
Rfam family: Flavo-1 RNA
Source: Rfam by way of RNAcentral
UUCUAGCCCUGACAGCAGCGCCAUCCUUUUUUGCCGGGGUUCGGCAUAAAAGAUACAGCGGAUGGCAGGAAUAGCU